UGAGUACUUACGGCGGACGGGUGAGUAUGCUUAGGAAUCUGCCUAUUAGUGGGGGACAACGUUUCGAAAGGAACGCUAAUACCGCAUACGUCCUACGGGAGAAAGCAGGGGAUCAUUUGACCUUGUGCUAAUAGAUGAGCCUAAGUCGGAUUAGCUAGUUGGUGGGGUAAAGGCCUACCAAGGCGACGAUCUGUAGCGGGUCUGAGAGGAUGAUCCGCCACACUGGGACUGAGACACGGCCCAGACUCCUACGGGAGGCAGCAGUGGGGAAUAUUGGACAAUGGGCGAAAGCCUGAUCCAGCCAUGCCGCGUGUGUGAAGAAGGCCUUUUGGUUGUAAAGCACUUUAAGCGAGGAGGAGGCUUCUUUGGUUAAUACCCAAAGUAAGUGGACGUUACUCGCAGAAUAAGCACCGGCUAACUCUGUGCCAGCAGCCGCGGUAAUACAGAGGGUGCAAGCGUUAAUCGGAUUUACUGGGCGUAAAGCGUGCGUAGGCGGCUAAUUAAGUCAAAUGUGAAAUCCCCGAGCUUAACUUGGGAAUUGCAUUCGAUACUGGUUAGCUAGAGUAUGGGAGAGGAUGGUAGAAUUCCAGGUGUAGACGGUGAAAUGCGUAAGAGAUCUGGAGGAAUACCGAUGGCGAAGCAGGCCAUCUGGGCCUAAUACUGGACGCUUAGAGUACCAAAAGCCUUGGGGAAGCACACACGGAUUGAUACCCCGGGUAAUCCAUCGGCCGGAAACACAAUUUUACUUAACCC
Molecule: ribosomal RNA, 753 nt
Filed under: uncultured Acinetobacter sp.
Lineage: Bacteria; Pseudomonadati; Pseudomonadota; Gammaproteobacteria; Moraxellales; Moraxellaceae
Description: bacterial SSU rRNA
Rfam family: Bacterial small subunit ribosomal RNA
Source: RNAcentral